CCAGACUCCUACGGGAGGCAGCAGUGAGGAAUAUUGGUCAAUGGUCGGGAGACUGAACCAGCCAAGCCGCGUGAGGGAGGAAGGUACAGAGUAUCGUAAACCUCUUUUGUCAGGGAACAAAGGCGGGGACGUGUCCCCGGAUGAGUGUACCUGAAGAAAAAGCAUCGGCUAACUCCGUGCCAGCAGCCGCGGUAAUACGGAGGAUGCGAGCGUUAUCCGGAUUUAUUGGGUUUAAAGGGUGCGUAGGCGGAGUGUCAAGUCAGCGGUAAAAUUUCGGGGCUCAACCCCGUCGUGCCGUUGAAACUGACGCCCUUGAGUGAGUGAGAAGUAAGCGGAAUGCGUGGUGUAGCGGUGAAAUGCUUAGAUAUCACGAAGAACUCCGAUUGCGAAGGCAGCCUACUAAACUGCCACUGACAUUGAUGCUCGAAAGUGUGGGUAUCAAACAGGAUUAGAUACCCCAGUA
RNAcentral lists this ribosomal RNA (463 nucleotides) under uncultured bacterium. Its description in RNAcentral is "bacterial SSU rRNA". It matches the Rfam family "Bacterial small subunit ribosomal RNA", at positions 331 to 792 of the family's 1533-position model. The record is from RNAcentral.